Molecule: ribosomal RNA, 497 nt
Filed under: uncultured bacterium
Lineage: Bacteria
Description: partial 16S ribosomal RNA
Rfam family: Bacterial small subunit ribosomal RNA
Source: RNAcentral
GAUGAACGCUGGCGGCGUGCCUAAUACAUGCAAGUCGAGCGAACAGACGAGGAGCUUGCUCCUCUGACGUUAGCGGCGGACGGGUGAGUAACACGUGGAUAACCUACCUAUAAGACUGGGAUAACUUCGGGAAACCGGAGCUAAUACCGGAUAAUAUAUUGAACCGCAUGGUUCAAUAGUGAAAGACGGUUUUGCUGUCACUUUUAGAUGGAUCCGCGCCGCAUUAGCUAGUUGGUAAGGUAACGGCUUACCAAGGCAACGAUGCGUAGCCGACCUGAGAGGAUGAUCGGCCACACUGGAACUGAGACACGGUCCAGACUCCUACGGGAGGCAGCAGUAGGGAAUCUUCCGCAAAGGGCGAAAGCCUGACGGAGCAACGCCGCGUGAGUGAUGAAGGUCUUCGGAUCGUAAAACUCUGUUAUUAGGGAAGAACAAAUGUGUAAGUAACUAUGCACGUCUUGACGGUACCUAAUCAGAAAGCCACGGCUAACUACGUG